CAGCAUACACACCCUCUGCUUCUGGCCACCCUCUCAAGUGUUCAUACAACCUCACCAUGAAAUUCAACUUUCUGGGAUUACGUGUUGCUGCUUGAUUCGUUGCCCUGGUGGGCUAAUGCCUUAUUAAGUUUGCUUUUCUAUCACUUUCCUUCCUAUUGCUGCUCUCAUAACUUUUCUCUGCGUUUCAUCUCGGCCUCAGAUCUGAUCUUUUCAUCCACAUACAUGGCUGAAAAGGUAAACAGCCUUCAUUGCCAUCUCAAUUAUCACUCUCUCUUUUUUAUCUCCAUAACCAACCCUUUUGGAUUAAUGUCCUUUACAUCUUGUUCUUGUUUACAAAGUCAAAAUGUGAUUUCAAUUUCCUACUUUCUGCUUCAAUUUGUAGCAUAAUGAUGAAGCCAUUCUUCUAUUCUAUGCCACAAUCGUAAGAUUGGUUCACUACUAUAAAUAAUUCUGAUGGGUGGUUUUAUUGAACACAUUAAUCAGGUGACCUUCAUGAAACUCAAGGUUGACCUUGAGUGCGGGAAAUGCUGCAAAAAGGUUAAGAAAGUUCUCGCUAAGUAUCCUCGUGAGUUCAUCACCCCUUGCUUUAAUUUUCUCUGCUACAUGUAUUAUCUAUACGUUAAAAUCACGAUUAAUUGUGACAUGAAAAUUUUGACAUUUGCAUACAUUUAUUUUUUGGAUGUAUGAGGGUGUCAAAUUGAGUUGAUUUUUUGGAUGUUGAAAUUUUGUGAACAAGAGAAAUUCGGGACCAGAGGUUCAGUGAGAAGGAAAACAUGGUGAUUAUUACAGUGGUGUGUUGUAGCCCCGAGAAAAUCAGGGACAAGCUUUGCUACAAAGGUGGAGGCUCUAUCAAGAGCAUUGAGAUACUGGACCCGCCCAAGCCCAAGCCCGCUGAGCCUGAGAAGAAGAAGGAGGCCGACAAGCCCAAGCCCGAACCCGAGAAAAAGAAAGACGCGGAGAAACCUAAAUCUGAUGCUCCCAAACAGGAAGCCGGUAAGAAAGACGGCGGGGAGAAGCCUAAGGCUGAGCCUGAGAAAAAGAAAGACGGGGAAAAGCCCAAAGCAGAGGCUCCGAAAAAGGAAGCUGAGAAGCCCAAGGAAAAGCCCGCGCCCCAGGCGGAGAUGCCCAAAGCCAAGCCCGCACCUGCUCCGUUACCCGUUCAGCCACAUAUAGCACCACCGAUGGCGGUUCCAGUUGGGAUGCUGUAUGCUCCUGCUCCCUGCUAUGAAGGCAGGCCCAUUGGGCCUUUCUUCGAAUACGGUGGGCCCAUGAAC
Molecule: long non-coding RNA, 1274 nt
Filed under: Phaseolus vulgaris (common bean)
Lineage: Eukaryota; Viridiplantae; Streptophyta; Magnoliopsida; Fabales; Fabaceae
Description: long non-coding RNA (PVUL_LNC002741)
Source: RNAcentral